GACGAACGCUGGCGGCGUGCCUAAUACAUGCAAGUCGAGCGGACCGAACAGGAGCUUGCUCUUGUUCGGUUAGCGGCGGACGGGUGAGUAACACGUGGGUAACCUGCCCGUAAGACCGGGAUAACUCCGGGAAACCGGAGCUAAUACCGGAUAACACCGAAAACCGCAUGGUCUUUGGUUGAAAGGCGGCUUCGGCUGCCACUUACGGAUGGGCCCGCGGCGCAUUAGCUAGUUGGUGAGGUAACGGCUCACCAAGGCGACGAUGCGUAGCCGGCCUGAGAGGGUGACCGGCCACACUGGGACUGAGACACGGCCCAGACUCCUACGGGAGGCAGCAGUAGGGAAUCUUCCGCAAUGGACGAAAGUCUGACGGAGCGACGCCGCGUGAGCGAAGAAGGUCGUCGGAUCGUAAAGCUCUGUUGUUAGGGAAGAAGAAGCGUCGUUCGAACAGGGCGGCGCGGUGACGGUACCUAACGAGAAAGCCCCGGCUAACUACGUG
Molecule: ribosomal RNA, 499 nt
Filed under: uncultured bacterium
Lineage: Bacteria
Description: partial 16S ribosomal RNA
Rfam family: Bacterial small subunit ribosomal RNA
Source: RNAcentral